GUCCACGCCGUAAACGAUGGACACUAGUUGUUGGAAUUAUUCAGUGACUAAGCGAAAGUAAUAAGUGUCCCACCUGGGGAGUACGGUCGCAAGAUUGAAACUCAAAGGAAUUGACGGGGGCCCGCACAAGCGGUGGAGCAUGUGGUUUAAUUCGAUGAUACGCGAGGAACCUUACCAGGGCUUAAAUGUAGAGUGACAGGUCUAGAGAUAGAUUUUUCUUCGGACACUUUACAAGGUGCUGCA
Molecule: ribosomal RNA, 243 nt
Filed under: uncultured bacterium
Lineage: Bacteria
Description: partial 16S ribosomal RNA
Rfam family: Bacterial small subunit ribosomal RNA
Source: RNAcentral